AUACGGCCAUAUCGCAUUGAAACACCCGUUCUCGUUCGAUCACCGAAGUAAGCAACGUUGAGUCUCGUCGGUACUCACAUGGGUGACCGCUGGGCAAUGCUACGUG
This is a non-coding RNA of Acanthosepion pharaonis, 106 nucleotides long. The record is from the annotation of a GenBank genome assembly. NCBI's taxonomy places the organism in Eukaryota, Metazoa, Mollusca, Cephalopoda, Sepiida, Sepiidae.